GGAGGCAUGAGCUACACAUGCAGUGAGGGGUACAGGGAUUGCUUGCAAUCCGCUGACGACCGGCGCACGGGUGCGUAACGCGUAUGCAACCUACCUUUUACUGGGGGAUAGUCAAGAGAAAUUUUGAAUAAUACCCCAUACGAUCUGAUUCACUCCUGUGAAACAGAAGAAAAUUCCGAUGGUAAAAGAUGGGCAUGCGUCCUAUUAGUUUGUUGGUGAGGUAACGGCUCACCAAGACUACGAUAGGUAGGGGUCCUGAGAGGGAGAUCCCCCACACUGGUACUGAGACACGGACCAGACUCCUACGGGAGGCAGCAGUGAGGAAUAUUGGACAAUGGAGGCAACUCUGAUCCAGCCAUGCCGCGUGCAGGAAGACGGCCCUAUGGGUUGUAAACUGCUUUUAUACAGGAAGAAACGUUAGUACGUGUACUAGCCUGACGGUACUGUAAGAAUAAGGAUCGGCUAACUCCGUGCCAGCAGCCGCGGUAAUACGGAGGAUCCAAGCGUUAUCCGGAAUCAUUGGGUUUAAAGGGUCCGCAGGCGGUCUGAUAAGUCAGAGGUGAAAUCCUAUCGCUCAACGAUAGAACUGCCUUUGAUACUGUUAGACUUGAGUUAUUGUGAAGUAGUUAGAAUGUGUAGUGUAGCGGUGAAAUGCAUAGAUAUUACACAGAAUACCGAUUGCGAAGGCAGAUUACUAACAAUAUACUGACGCUCAUGGACGAAAGCGUGGGUAGCGAACAGGAUUAGAUACCCUGGUAGUCCACGCCGUAAACGAUGGUCACUAGCUGUUUGAUGCACAUUGGUGUGUUGAGUGGCUAAGCGAAAGUGAUAAGUGACCCACCUGGGGAGUACC
This 853-nucleotide ribosomal RNA is filed under the name uncultured marine bacterium. RNAcentral's name for it is "bacterial SSU rRNA". It matches the Rfam family "Bacterial small subunit ribosomal RNA", at positions 38 to 884 of the family's 1533-position model. The record is from RNAcentral.